AAUGGUUUCGACGGGGGCAAGUUGCUCCUGGGAAGCGAGUCGAAGGGAUCCUGUACCUGCGUUAAAAAACUGGGAACUUAAAUAUAAUUGCAAACGAUAAUUUUGCAUUAGCUGCCUAAUAGUUGCAGCUCGUCAGCCUAAGAGUCCCACGACUUAGGGUCUGGCGUCGACAGUGGGGAACCGAGCCUUACAAAGCUUUGAGUAAGGAACGGAAUUAAUGAAGCUACUAAAUCUAAGAGCCCGUUUAUCGGCGCUUAGAGGAGGGAAUGUAAAAGGAUAAACUGCACUCGGAGAUGCCCAGGGGUUGCUGCUUUCGGACAGGGGUUCGAUUCA
Molecule: transfer-messenger RNA, 333 nt
Filed under: Clostridium botulinum
Lineage: Bacteria; Bacillati; Bacillota; Clostridia; Eubacteriales; Clostridiaceae
Rfam family: transfer-messenger RNA
About the family: Bacterial tmRNA, also known as 10Sa RNA or SsrA, is named for its dual tRNA and mRNA-like properties. Its role is to liberate the mRNA from a stalled ribosome.
Source: RNAcentral